AUGCGGCUCACCGGUUCUUUCUGCAGUGCCAUUCUUGGAUGGUGCAUCCAAUCCAACUGCAUCGUGCUUUUAAUCAUUCCAAUAAAUUUGCGAUUAUCGACAUCACCAGCAGCAUUUGGUCGGUACUUCUAUAUUGUAACACAUUUAUAUUCCUCAAGGAUUGGUUCGUGUGCAUUGCCUUCCAGAGGCCUCUGUACCGUAUGUGUUUUUUUUGUUGACCAUGGACUGUACUGUUUCUGUUGUUUAAGCUACACACUCUUAGUAGUAAUUUCCUGUAAAGGUAUGUAUUAUUUGUAUCGAACAUCUUGUGUGAUUAAUCAUGUCAAACAUUUCAUUUUGUAA
Molecule: ribosomal RNA, 342 nt
Filed under: Triticum aestivum (bread wheat)
Lineage: Eukaryota; Viridiplantae; Streptophyta; Magnoliopsida; Poales; Poaceae
Description: partial small subunit ribosomal RNA
Source: RNAcentral